UACGUAGGGCGCAAGCGUUAUCCGGAAUUAUUGGGCGUAAAGAGCUCGUAGGCGGUUUGUCGCGUCUGCCGUGAAAGUCCGGGGCUCAACCCCGGACUUGCAGUGGGUACGGGCAGACUAGAGUUCGGUAGGGGAGUCUGGAAUUCCUGGUGUAGCGGUGAAAUGCGCAGAUAUCAGGAGGAACACCGGUGGCGAAGGCGGAUCUCUGGGCCGUAACUGACGCUGAGGAGCGAAAGCAUGGGGAGCGAACAGG
This 253-nucleotide ribosomal RNA is filed under the name uncultured bacterium. Its description in RNAcentral is "partial 16S ribosomal RNA". It matches the Rfam family "Bacterial small subunit ribosomal RNA", at positions 524 to 776 of the family's 1533-position model. The record is from RNAcentral.